Molecule: long non-coding RNA, 1745 nt
Organism: Oncorhynchus nerka (sockeye salmon)
Lineage: Eukaryota; Metazoa; Chordata; Actinopteri; Salmoniformes; Salmonidae
Exons: 5
Source: RefSeq, a predicted model, not a curated record
CUGUUGUAUUCGGCGCAUGUGACAAACAAAAUUUUAUUUUAUUUGUUGUAUCAAUAUGUUUUGACCAUGACAGCUUUCUCAAUUUCCACAUGAUUUAUUACAAUAUUUAGUUGAGGUUUAGUGUUUAGUGAAUGAUUUGUCCCAAAACAAUGCUUUUAGUUUUUGAAAUAUUUAGGACAAACUUAUUCCUUGCCACCCAUUCUGAAACUAACUUCAGCUCUUUGUUAAGUGUUGCAGUCAUUUCAGUUGCUUAAGUAGCUGACAUGUAUAGCGUUGAGUCAUCUGCAUACAUCGACACACUGACUUUACUCAAAGCCAGUGGCAUGUCGUUAGUAAAUAUUUAAAAAAUGAAAGGGGCCUAGACAGCUGCCCUGGGGAAUGCCAAUAGCAUUGUAAGUUUUUUCCAAAACUUUACUAAGGGUUGCUAACAGGAUGAUUGGUUGGCUAUUUGAGCCAGUAAAGGGGGCUUUACUAUUCUUAGGGGAUCAUUGAUAAGUCAUUGUCUCAAUGAAGCCUUAUAAUGCUGUGAAAGGAUCCAGGAACCCAAAUGAUUUGGGUGGAUCCCAUCCUCCUUAUAAAACGUGUUUUGUUUCCAAAAGGUAUCGAAAUUGUCAACAAAAGUUACAGCCAUUGAGCUGCAAUAAUCACGUAGCCAGUUGUGAAGAGAAAGAAUCCUGCUAAAGCGUUCAAUACCACAAUUCAGAGAGGGCACAGGGCCAGAUAUGAUGUGCAUUUUAUUAGUGUCUAGCAGAGUCAAUCAGCUCUUAUAAAAAUCCAGUUUCAACUGUUCAGAGUGAUAGAAUCGAUAGAAUCAAUGUCAAUGUCCUAGCGUAAUACAUUCAGGAGCAGCUUAGUAAUGUAAUUUUCUUGUGCUCUGAGAUAGGGCAUUGGUUUUGCACCAGGAACAGUCACAUUUCUUACCAUGGAGCUGCCCAAAAUCCCGGCUGAUGAGAAGGACCAGGAAAUCUGCUCACUCCCACAUGUCAUAGGAAUGAUGCAGGUCUCCAUCAGAUGGAAGGUUGCCGAUGUCGACUUCUAAAUUGUAGGGGAAGUAGUAGGAGUAGGCCCAGUGGCCGCAGACACAGGCACCCCCAUCGACGAAGGUGCAGGAAGAUCAGGCUCCAGUGCGGCGAAAAUAUAUGUUGUUUGUAUCCGCUCCGGGCCUCUUGUUGGGGGUGUAGACUGCUUUGCAGGAAGCUGCUGUCUUUGACUUCCACGGCUCGUGACAUGCUACCAUCGUUGAUUGCCAUGCUCCUCUUGCUGUUUUUCUUCGACUCUGCUAUUAGAUGGGGGAGGAGAGGCAGGAGAUGGCUCCCCUGGCGCAUGAACUCCGGGCAACACUGGCCAGUCAGAUAAAGACAAACAACAAGAUGGACAUGCAUCCAACCCGUCUAGCCACCUCCGUAAAAAAGACUGUCCAGAGUCACAGAAGAGGCAAAAAUUAGCAGGAAUGUUGGAGGGUUUAGUGAAUGUGGGCUUGAUGGACUGUGAGUGACAGCUUUGAGGUGACCACCAGAACAGCCUUCUUCCCCCCGGCAGUUCAUUGAAGAGCAAGGGCAGCAUGCUGAGUUUGGACACCAGAGAGAUCUAUGGAGAGUUGAUGCAGCUUCUGCCUGACCUGGUGGCUCUUACUAAGGACACCUUUUAAGAGUAAACUGGCCCAUCGGUGGCUGGUCAGUUUUUCCUUUGGACAGAAGACCAUGGCGUCUCAUGAGUAUAAGGACCUCAAGGCUCUCCGGAAGGGG